This 253-nucleotide ribosomal RNA is filed under the name uncultured bacterium. Its description in RNAcentral is "partial 16S ribosomal RNA". It matches the Rfam family "Bacterial small subunit ribosomal RNA", at positions 524 to 776 of the family's 1533-position model. The record is from RNAcentral.
UACGGAGGGGGCUAGCGUUGUUCGGAAUUACUGGGCGUAAAGCGCACGUAGGCGGCUUUGCAAGUUAGAGGUGAAAGCCCAGGGCUUAACCCUGGAAUUGCCUUUAAGACUGCAUCGCUAGAAUCGUGGAGAGGUGAGUGGAAUUCCGAGUGUAGAGGUGAAAUUCGUAGAUAUUCGGAAGAACACCAGUGGCGAAGGCGGCUCACUGGACCGUUGUUGACGCUGAGGUGCGAAAGCGUGGGGAGCAAACAGG